RNAcentral lists this transfer RNA (75 nucleotides) under Thermoplasmata archaeon. Its description in RNAcentral is "tRNA-Ile". It matches the Rfam family "tRNA". Rfam says of the family: Transfer RNA (tRNA) molecules are approximately 80 nucleotides in length. Their secondary structure includes four short double-helical elements and three loops (D, anti-codon, and T loops). Further hydrogen bonds mediate the characteristic L-shaped molecular structure. tRNAs have two regions of fundamental functional importance: the anti-codon, which is responsible for specific mRNA codon recognition, and the 3' end, to which the tRNAs corresponding amino acid is attached (by aminoacyl-tRNA synthetases). tRNAs cope with the degeneracy of the genetic code in two manners: having more than one tRNA (with a specific anti-codon) for a particular amino acid; and 'wobble' base-pairing, i.e. permitting non-standard base-pairing at the 3rd anti-codon position. RNAcentral also lists the same sequence under 3 other names. Lineage: Archaea; Methanobacteriati; Thermoplasmatota; Thermoplasmata. The record is from RNAcentral.
GGGCCUGUAGCUUAGAUUGGUUGGAGCACCCGGCUGAUAACCGGGAGGUCGAGAGUUCAAAUCUCUCCAGGCCCA